CGAUGCUGCCCUCGGAGAAGCGCUCCGGGUUCCCGGGAAACAUGGAAACGUUCUUGGUGACCAGCAGGGCCAGGUGACCGGCUGUGGUUUCCCGGACCAGCUCUGGAGGAGACCAAGGAAACGGCCAGACGGCCCAUUGUGAGGAUAAAGAGCCAUCAAGUAAAAUGAUCUGAAGUCCAGCCCCACGUAAGGAGCAUCUUGGUGCACCAGGCGCUGGAAUGUUCCCAAGGGCCUAUGAGGUCCCUGCUCAGCCCCAGCUGUCAGGGAACAAGAGAGGAGCGUGUCACUCACACAGGAGCAGCAGAUGAAGACCAUGCAGAAGGCCUCCAUGAU
Non-coding RNA from Sus scrofa (pig), 333 nucleotides. NCBI's taxonomy places the organism in Eukaryota, Metazoa, Chordata, Mammalia, Artiodactyla, Suidae. The record is from RefSeq and is a predicted model, not a curated record.